UACGGAGGGAGCUAGCGUCGUUCGGAAUUACUGGGCGUAAAGCGCACGUAGGCGGCUUUGUAAGUUAGAGGUGAAAGCCCGGGGCUCAACCCCGGAAUUGCCCUUAAGACUGCAUCGCUUGAAUCCGGGAGAGGUGAGUGGAAUUCCGAGUGUAGAGGUGAAAUUCGUAGAUAUUCGGAAGAACACCAGUGGCGAAGGCGGCUCACUGGACCGGUAUUGACGCUGAGGAGCGAAAGCCAGGGGAGCAAACGGG
RNAcentral lists this ribosomal RNA (253 nucleotides) under uncultured bacterium. RNAcentral describes it as "partial 16S ribosomal RNA". It matches the Rfam family "Bacterial small subunit ribosomal RNA", at positions 524 to 776 of the family's 1533-position model. The record is from RNAcentral.